RNAcentral lists this long non-coding RNA (1362 nucleotides) under Gallus gallus (chicken). Its description in RNAcentral is "lncRNA (ENSGALG00010028338.1)". Lineage: Eukaryota; Metazoa; Chordata; Aves; Galliformes; Phasianidae. The record is from RNAcentral.
GCUGCUGGGGCCGGUGGUGGCUGCAGCUCCUCUGGCCGUGCUGCAGCCCCCACCUUCCUUGGCAGCCCCUCCUCUGGCCGUGCUGCAGCCCCCGGAUUUUUUGGCAGCCCCUCUGGCCGUGCUGCAGCCCCCGGCUUCCUUCUCAGCCGCCAGCAGCCCCCAGCAGCCCCGCCUACCAGCAGGGAGAUCACGGGCUGGCAGCCCAGAGCGGGCAGUGUGAGGGACGGGAGGAGAGCAGCCCCGGGAGGGAUCAGGGGCCAGUAGAAGCAGAUGAUGAAGAAGAGGAUAUAGAGAUAGUUGUUGUAUAGAUAGUAAGAGGGUAUGAUGAUAGUUGAUAGCGACGUAGAUUAGUUGAUAGCGACGUAGAUUAGUUGAUAGCGACGUUGAUAGCUGAUGGUUGUAUACAGGUAGCGAACAGAUAGCAGAUAGCUAGGUGGGUUAUUGGUAGAGAGGUAGUUUGUGGAUAGCAAGGUAGUUAGCAGCAAGCAAGAGUUAGUAGCAAUGUAGUUAGAUCAUAGCCAGAUAGCUGAUAGGGGGAUGCAGGAUAGAAAGAUGGGUGACUGGGAGAUAGUUAAUUUAUAGACUGCAAUAGUGAAAGUUGCUGAAAAGAACUUUGUCUCUGUUUCAGAUGAGCCACUGCGCCCUGGGACACCACUCUCCCCUCAGUACGAUGAAGACCAACGCCUGAUGCUGCUCCAUCACCAGCAGAAGAACAGCAGCUCUGCAGAGACCCGUCCUGCCAGCAGAGCAUCACGGAGAAGAAGACGCGCCUUCUGCUCACAGGAAGGUACUCGUGCUGCAGCCGCCUCCCUGGCAGCCCCAGCAGCCCCGCACUGCCCCGCUUGCAGCUGCGGCCCCACCAGGGCAGCUGCAGGUGAUGGGCUGGCAGCCCAGUGCGGGCUGUGCGAGGGGCAGGGGGAGGGCAGCCCUGGGGCUGUGGGGGGCUGAUGGCAGUGGAUAGGGAAAUAGCGGACGGCAAGGCAGUUCUUGUCUUGACAGUACGUGAACUGCAAGGGAGUUGAUAGAUGGUGGCUAGCGGUAACAGAACCUUCCUUUGUCUUUGCUGCAGAGGAGUCCUUGCACAUCACUUGACCCCCUCCUCCAGGAGGAAGCAGGAUCAGCGCCCGGUGCUGCCCCAGCACCGGCAGAAGAACAGCGGCUCUUGGAAGCGUGACCUGCUGGGAGAUCGUCGGGGAGAAGAGGACGCGCCUUCUGCGCCGAGGGAGGUAUGUCAGUGUCUCUGCUGCCAGCCCAUCUACCCGCCUCCCCCAUCGCCACACAACCUCACCUCCCCCAGGGACCUGCAGGCAGGCCUAUUUGCAAACAGCAAGCACAGGCAAUGAACACAUCAGGUAAUUAAAU